Long non-coding RNA from Oncorhynchus tshawytscha (Chinook salmon), 353 nucleotides. NCBI's taxonomy places the organism in Eukaryota, Metazoa, Chordata, Actinopteri, Salmoniformes, Salmonidae. The record is from Ensembl.
AUGAUGAGUGGAGGUGAUGAUGAGGUAAAGGGUUUAGGGGGACAUGAUGAGUGGAGGUGAUGAUGAGGUAAAGGGUUUAGGGGGACAGGAUGAGUGGAGGUGAUGAUGAGGUACAGGGUUUAGAGGGACAGGAUGAGUGGAGUUGAUGAUGAGGUAAAGGGUUUAGGGGGACAGGAUGAGUGGAGGUGAUGAUGAGGUACAGGGUUUAGAGGGACAGGAUGAGUGGAGGUGAUGAUGAGGUGAGGGGUUUAGGGGGACAGGAUGAGUGGAGGUGAUGAUGAGGUACAGGGUUUAGAGGGACAGGAUGAGUGGAGGUGAUGAUGAGGUGAGGGGUUUAGGGGGACAGGAUGAGU